Molecule: small RNA, 529 nt
Filed under: Malus domestica (apple)
Lineage: Eukaryota; Viridiplantae; Streptophyta; Magnoliopsida; Rosales; Rosaceae
Description: sRNA MD01G0008200
Source: RNAcentral
AUGAAGGCAGCAGCAAGGGAAUUUGAGCCUUGGCCUGUAGAGAUACGAUUUUGCAAGGAAGCUAGGCAGUUGCUUCUUUAGGGACUUAUGACAUAACAUUAGAGAUGGGAAAGAAGGAAGCAUUGCGGUGUACCAUGUGAGAUGAUUAGAGGGUGCAAUACCAAGUGAAGAAAUACACCUUGAGAAGAGCUCUUGGGUUGUCAAUUGUGACUGGAAAUUCUACUCCUCACAUGGAUCAUAGAAAUAUACAAUACCAAGGUUGGUGAUAUUUCUUCUUCAUUGUGAACAAUCAGGUUUGAGUGGCACUUUGAAUGCAACAAAACUGAAAUAAGGAUCUUCAGUUGUUCUUUUUGGACUUGGUUCCAUUGGCAUUGCUGUUAUUGAUGAGAUGACCAAUGACAAAGUUGACAAGAGGAUAGCAAAUCCCAAAGUUGUGUACAUGCAAUCCUCUAAAUCAGGUUAAAUGUCUUAUUCAUGUGGUUAAGGCUGGUGCAUUCAAGUCCCACAGCAACGCGCGGGCAUUUUUGCU